RNAcentral lists this ribosomal RNA (502 nucleotides) under uncultured bacterium. Its description in RNAcentral is "bacterial SSU rRNA". It matches the Rfam family "Bacterial small subunit ribosomal RNA", at positions 28 to 449 of the family's 1533-position model. The record is from RNAcentral.
GAUGAAUGCUGGCGGCGUGCCUAAUACAUGCAAGUCGAGCGGUAACAGGUUCUCACUGUUUACUUCUCUCGGUUCGGGACAGGACGCGGGGAUUUUCCAAAGGAAAAUCAGCCGCAUCUUUAGCGAAAAGAGGAAUGAGGAGUAAAGAGUGAGAAUGCUGACGAGCGGCGGACGGCUGAGUAACGCGUAGGAACAUGCCCCAAAGUGAGGGAUAACGCACCGAAAGGUGUGCUAAUACCGCAUAUGGUCUUCGGAUUAAAGGAUUUAUCCGCUUUGGGAGUGGCCUGCGUACGAUUAGAUUGUUGGUGAGGUAACGGCUCACCAAGUCGACGAUCGUUAACUGGUCUGAGAGGAUGAUCAGUCAGACUGGAACUGAGACACGGUCCAGACUCCUACGGGAGGCAGCAGUAAGGAAUCUUCCACAAUGGGCGAAAGCCUGAUGGAGCAACGCCGCGUGCAGGAUGAAGGCCCUCGGGUCGUAAACUGCUUUAUGAGUGAAGAA